GAUGAAAACGCAGCGAAAUGCGAUAAGUAAUGUGAAUUGCAGAAUUCAGUGAAUCAUCGAAUCUUUGAACGCACCUUGCGCUCCUUGGUAUUCCGAGGAGCAUGCCUGUUUGAGUGUCAUGAAAUUCUCAACCUUUUCAGCUUUCUUUGUUGAUCAGGCUUGGAUGUGGGAGUAUGCGGGCUUCUCAGAAGUCGGCUCUCCUGAAAUGCAUUAGCGGGACCUUUGUUGCCUGGCUUUGGUGUGAUAAUUAUCUACGCCAUUGUAGUCAAGCAGCUUAAAAUGAGGUUUCAGCUUCUAACCGUCUCCCCUGAGACAACUUUUUGACAAUUUGACCUCAAAUCAGGUAGGACUACCCGCUGAACUUAAGCAUAUCAAUAAGCGGAGGA
Molecule: unclassified non-coding RNA, 386 nt
Filed under: soil metagenome
Description: partial contains 5.8S ribosomal RNA, internal transcribed spacer 2, and large subunit ribosomal RNA
Rfam family: 5.8S ribosomal RNA (bases 1-119)
Source: RNAcentral